Molecule: long non-coding RNA, 1445 nt
Filed under: Cucumis sativus (cucumber)
Lineage: Eukaryota; Viridiplantae; Streptophyta; Magnoliopsida; Cucurbitales; Cucurbitaceae
Description: long non-coding RNA (CSAT_LNC002128)
Source: RNAcentral
CUGCCUCUAACCACAAGGUUUAAGGUCGUUACACUUCAAUUCCAAACCUUAAAUCAUUCUUAAAUUACAAGGACUGUUUUGCACUAACACCAUUGAACUUUUUAACUCAGAUGACUAUUAAAACUCAAGCACUUAUAGCACAAGUGUAAUAAGAAUUAAUUGCAACGAUUUUACAACUUCAUAGGAAAUUUUCUUUUUUUUUCAAGUGCAUAACAAGGGUAGAUGACUCGAACUCAAAACCUCUUGGUGGCUAAGACAUAUGUCUACGAGUUAGCAUGAUAGACCAAAUUCGAAAAACAAAGGUGGUUGAUCGGAGAUAAGGAGGGGCUCGAUUAGCAUCGGUUUGGGGAAGUCCACAACGACAUUUUUUAAAAAGAAAACUAAAGGAUAAUACCGACCGACAACUGAUUUGCACUCCCCAAUGAUCAAGGUCAAUUUGAACAUUUGCUAAAUCGAUAAUAGUCAGUUUGGUGGCAGUUAGAUCUGAAAAUUGAUGCACACCCCUACAUAUCUCACUUGAGAUAUGCUCACUUUUAUCGGUUUAGAAUACAAGGUUUGGCCGGAAGUUAAUUUUUCUUUAAUUUUUUACAGCCAAGUGAUUAUUAAUGUCCAUACUAGAUUCUUUGCUGCAAAUUAAAGCUAGUUUCCUUACGAACUUUAAGAAUAAAAAGGAAAAAUAAGAAAAUGCGAGGGAAAGGCGGCAGUAGCAGAGAAAAGGUAAUAAAAAGGAUGCCCAAAAGCUAAGGCAAAUAAAAUGGAAAGAAUAUAAGGAAAGUUACUCAACCAAACCAAAUCAAUCCAAGUUUUUCCAACCACUACUCUGUUAUUAAUAUAAAAAUUGAGUGACUUUAUGGUAAAAGUAUUAGUAAGCUCUUCAUGGAGAGCGCUUGCAGAUUAUAUCUAUUUUUCUUUCUCGGAUAACCCAUCUAACACUAUGACAUUUGGGUGUUAAAGACGUCAGUAAGAUGUUAAAUAUUGGGUGUUAAAGACGUCAGUAAGAUGUUAAAUAUUGGGUGUUAAAGACGUCAGUAAGAUGUUAAAUAUUGGGUGUUAAAGACGUCAGUAAGAUGUUAAAUAUUGGGUGUUAAAGACGUCAGUAAGAUGUUAAAUAUUGGGUGUUAAAGACGGCAGGAAGAUGUUAAAUAUUGAAGAACUUGCAGAUUCUUCUGUAUGAAAAAGGUAAGAAAAAGCUUCAUGAUGAAUGGAAAAAUUUUCAGUAAAGGAAUACAGAAAGAGAACCAUCUAUCUAAUGACUGUUGGGAAUUAUGCAUAACUUUUCUAUCUUCAGUGGGUCCUAUAAGCUAUCAUAAUCGAUACACAAUAAUGUCAUCUAAAUUAAGGACUAAACUAUUGGCUUAAUCUUAGCCAUCCAUUUUUGGGUUAGGUAAUGAGAUUAUAGCAGAGUUAAUAAUGAACAGAUUGAAAUUCAGAAACCCAAUUUCAAG